This is a long non-coding RNA of Dermacentor albipictus, 832 nucleotides long. RefSeq lists it as uncharacterized. NCBI's taxonomy places the organism in Eukaryota, Metazoa, Arthropoda, Arachnida, Ixodida, Ixodidae. The record is from RefSeq and is a predicted model, not a curated record.
ACAGAAUAUUGCGAGUGCCAUAUUUCCGUUUCUUUCACGAAGCAUAUGGUUAGCAAAGGAAUAGGGCUAAAACAGAAAGGGUUUGCUCAUUUUAGAGUUCCUCAAUAAGAAUAACUUGUGUACGUUGUGCAAAGUACAGUUACUUUUAUGCCUAUCUUAUAUGAAAGUGCACCUUUAUAGAUUUGUUCUACGUGUUUUGUGAUAUCUAUAUUUUAUUUUGCUCUAGGAAUGCUCGAGACCGUGCGCCCAACCGAAUGUCGAAGACAGCAGCGCGUAAAUGCUGACAGUCCAACAUGCAUAUGAAAGUCUUAUUGCCUUGCAUAUUCGGUGUCUCCAUCCUGAACGCUGCAGCCUUCACUAUUAAGAGGUGUGGCCGUGACCUGAAGACUGGCGACUUUUGUAUGGUUCCUUACUGCAAUGGUACGUGCUAUGAUGACGUGUGCGUCUGCCCUUGGGAAAAAAAGCCAUUUUCACUUCCCGCGGCGAUGGUAAAUGCGUCCACGCUUAAGAAGGUGCCGUCAGAAAGUUCGACAGCAACUCGGCCAUUGACACCUCAGCGUCCGUCCAGCCCGCCUGCAGAGACGCUGCCAAUCCAAUCGCCGGGGCCUCUAACACUGGUCACUAAAACACAACCGUUCAAAAGGCAUAUAAGUAGGCUGCCUGGAAGUGCGACUGUAGAACCUACCACGCAAAGGAUGACUACCAAAUUUCCAAAGAAGAAAAAUCCUCGCCACUGCAAGUGUCAUGGGAGAUGAUUACGCCGAAAGAACCGUCAUUUCUCUGUAAAAAUCCAUGAGAAUGAUAUGGCAGUAACAUUUAUUGCACAAUGCAA